This 2902-nucleotide ribosomal RNA is filed under the name Klebsiella pneumoniae. Its description in RNAcentral is "23S ribosomal RNA". It matches the Rfam family "Bacterial large subunit ribosomal RNA". Lineage: Bacteria; Pseudomonadati; Pseudomonadota; Gammaproteobacteria; Enterobacterales; Enterobacteriaceae. The record is from RNAcentral.
GGUUAAGCGACUAAGCGUACACGGUGGAUGCCCUGGCAGUCAGAGGCGAUGAAGGACGUGCUAAUCUGCGAAAAGCGUCGGUAAGGUGAUAUGAACCGUUAUAACCGGCGAUGUCCGAAUGGGGAAACCCAGUGCAAUUCGUUGCACUAUCGUUAACUGAAUACAUAGGUUAACGAGGCGAACCGGGGGAACUGAAACAUCUAAGUACCCCGAGGAAAAGAAAUCAACCGAGAUUCCCCCAGUAGCGGCGAGCGAACGGGGAGCAGCCCAGAGUCUGAAUCAGCUUGUGUGUUAGUGGAACGGUCUGGAAAGUCCGACGGUACAGGGUGAUAGUCCCGUACACCAAAAUGCACAGGCUGUGAACUCGAAGAGUAGGGCGGGACACGUGGUAUCCUGUCUGAAUAUGGGGGGACCAUCCUCCAAGGCUAAAUACUCCUGACUGACCGAUAGUGAACCAGUACCGUGAGGGAAAGGCGAAAAGAACCCCGGCGAGGGGAGUGAAAAAGAACCUGAAACCGUGUACGUACAAGCAGUGGGAGCACCUUCGGGUGUGACUGCGUACCUUUUGUAUAAUGGGUCAGCGACUUAUAUUCUGUAGCAAGGUUAACCGUAUAGGGGAGCCGCAGGGAAACCGAGUCUUAACUGGGCGUUAAGUUGCAGGGUAUAGACCCGAAACCCGGUGAUCUAGCCAUGGGCAGGUUGAAGGUUGGGUAACACUAACUGGAGGACCGAACCGACUAAUGUUGAAAAAUUAGCGGAUGACUUGUGGCUGGGGGUGAAAGGCCAAUCAAACCGGGAGAUAGCUGGUUCUCCCCGAAAGCUAUUUAGGUAGCGCCUCGUGAAUUCAUCUUCGGGGGUAGAGCACUGUUUCGGCUAGGGGGUCAUCCCGACUUACCAACCCGAUGCAAACUACGAAUACCGAAGAAUGUUAUCACGGGAGACACACGGCGGGUGCUAACGUCCGUCGUGAAGAGGGAAACAACCCAGACCGCCAGCUAAGGUCCCAAAGUCAUGGUUAAGUGGGAAACGAUGUGGGAAGGCACAGACAGCCAGGAUGUUGGCUUAGAAGCAGCCAUCAUUUAAAGAAAGCGUAAUAGCUCACUGGUCGAGUCGGCCUGCGCGGAAGAUGUAACGGGGCUAAACCAUGCACCGAAGCUGCGGCAGCGACACUAUGUGUUGUUGGGUAGGGGAGCGUUCUGUAAGCCUGCGAAGGUGACCUGUGAGGGUUGCUGGAGGUAUCAGAAGUGCGAAUGCUGACAUAAGUAACGAUAAAGCGGGUGAAAAGCCCGCUCGCCGGAAGACCAAGGGUUCCUGUCCAACGUUAAUCGGGGCAGGGUGAGUCGACCCCUAAGGCGAGGCCGAAAGGCGUAGUCGAUGGGAAACAGGUUAAUAUUCCUGUACUUGGUGUUACUGCGAAGGGGGGACGGAGAAGGCUAUGUUAGCCGGGCGACGGUUGUCCCGGUUUAAGCAUGUAGGCUGAUUGUCCAGGCAAAUCCGGAUAAUCAAGGCUGAGGUGUGAUGACGAGGCACUACGGUGCUGAAGUAACAAAUGCCCUGCUUCCAGGAAAAGCCUCUAAGCAUCAGGUAACAUCAAAUCGUACCCCAAACCGACACAGGUGGUCAGGUAGAGAAUACCAAGGCGCUUGAGAGAACUCGGGUGAAGGAACUAGGCAAAAUGGUGCCGUAACUUCGGGAGAAGGCACGCUGGUGUGUAGGUGAAGCCCCUGCGGGUGGAGCUGAGACCAGUCGAAGAUACCAGCUGGCUGCAACUGUUUAUUAAAAACACAGCACUGUGCAAACACGAAAGUGGACGUAUACGGUGUGACGCCUGCCCGGUGCCGGAAGGUUAAUUGAUGGGGUUAUCCGUAAGGAGAAGCUCUUGAUCGAAGCCCCGGUAAACGGCGGCCGUAACUAUAACGGUCCUAAGGUAGCGAAAUUCCUUGUCGGGUAAGUUCCGACCUGCACGAAUGGCGUAAUGAUGGCCAGGCUGUCUCCACCCGAGACUCAGUGAAAUUGAACUCGCUGUGAAGAUGCAGUGUACCCGCGGCAAGACGGAAAGACCCCGUGAACCUUUACUAUAGCUUGACACUGAACAUUGAGCCUUGAUGUGUAGGAUAGGUGGGAGGCUUUGAAGCGUGGACGCCAGUCUGCGUGGAGCCAACCUUGAAAUACCACCCUUUAAUGUUUGAUGUUCUAACGUUGGCCCCUUACCGGGGUUGCGGACAGUGUCUGGUGGGUAGUUUGACUGGGGCGGUCUCCUCCCAAAGCGUAACGGAGGAGCACGAAGGUUAGCUAAUCCUGGUCGGACAUCAGGAGGUUAGUGCAAUGGCAUAAGCUAGCUUGACUGCGAGCGUGACGGCGCGAGCAGGUGCGAAAGCAGGUCAUAGUGAUCCGGUGGUUCUGAAUGGAAGGGCCAUCGCUCAACGGAUAAAAGGUACUCCGGGGAUAACAGGCUGAUACCGCCCAAGAGUUCAUAUCGACGGCGGUGUUUGGCACCUCGAUGUCGGCUCAUCACAUCCUGGGGCUGAAGUAGGUCCCAAGGGUAUGGCUGUUCGCCAUUUAAAGUGGUACGCGAGCUGGGUUUAGAACGUCGUGAGACAGUUCGGUCCCUAUCUGCCGUGGGCGCUGGAGAAUUGAGGGGGGCUGCUCCUAGUACGAGAGGACCGGAGUGGACGCAUCACUGGUGUUCGGGUUGUCAUGCCAAUGGCACUGCCCGGUAGCUAAAUGCGGAAGAGAUAAGUGCUGAAAGCAUCUAAGCACGAAACUUGCCCCGAGAUGAGUUCUCCCUGAGACUUUAAGUCUCCUGAAGGAACGUUAAAGACGAUGACGUUGAUAGGCCGGGUGUGUAAGCGCAGCGAUGCGUUGAGCUAACCGGUACUAAUGAACCGUGAGGCUUAACCUU